Molecule: ribosomal RNA, 506 nt
Filed under: uncultured bacterium
Lineage: Bacteria
Description: partial 16S ribosomal RNA
Rfam family: Bacterial small subunit ribosomal RNA
Source: RNAcentral
AGUGAACGCUGGCGGUAGGCCUAACACAUGCAAGUCGAACGGCAGCACAGAGGAGCUUGCUCCUUGGGUGGCGAGUGGCGGACGGGUGAGGAAUACAUCGGAAUCUACUCUGUCGUGGGGGAUAACGUAGGGAAACUUACGCUAAUACCGCAUACGACCUACGGGUGAAAGCAGGGGACCUUCGGGCCUUGCGCGAUUGAAUGAGCCGACGUCGGAUUAGCUAGUUGGCGGGGUAAGGGCCCACCAAGGCGACGAUCCGUAGCUGGUCUGAGAGGAUGAUCAGCCACACUGGAACUGAGACACGGUCCAGACUCCUACGGGAGGCAGCAGUGGGGAAUAUUGGACAAUGGGCGCAAGCCUGAUCCAGCCAUACCGCGUGGGUGAAGAAGGCCUUCGGGUUGUAAAGCCCUUUUGUUGGGAAAGAAAUCCAGCUGGCUAAUACCCGGUUGGGAUGACGGUACCCAAAGAAUAAGCACCGGCUAACUUCGUGCCAGCCGCCGCAGUAA